Molecule: ribosomal RNA, 350 nt
Filed under: uncultured bacterium
Lineage: Bacteria
Description: partial 16S ribosomal RNA
Rfam family: Bacterial small subunit ribosomal RNA
Source: RNAcentral
CCUACGGGUGGCAGCAGUGGGGGAUAUUGCACAAUGGGGGAAACCCUGAUGCAGCGACGCCGCGUGUGGGAAGACGGUCCUCUGGAUUGUAAACCACUGUCCCCAGGGACGAAGAUGACGUUACCUGGGGAGGACGCUCCGGCUAACUACGUGCCAGCAGCCGCGGUAAUACGUAGGGAGCAAGCGUUGUCCGGAAUUACUGGGUGUAAAGGGAGCGUAGGCGGGAUGGCAAGUUGGGUGUUAAAUCUACCGGCUCAACUGGUAGUCGCACUCAAAACUGCUAUUCUUGAGGGAAGUAGAGGCGGGGGGAAUGCCGAGGGGAGGGGUGAAUGCGGUGGAUAUUAGGAGGA